GGUUUCCGUAGGUGAACCUGCGGAAGGAUCRUUG
This 34-nucleotide ribosomal RNA is filed under the name Xanthium saccharatum. RNAcentral's name for it is "partial 18S ribosomal RNA". The record is from RNAcentral. Lineage: Eukaryota; Viridiplantae; Streptophyta; Magnoliopsida; Asterales; Asteraceae.